Molecule: ribosomal RNA, 581 nt
Filed under: uncultured bacterium
Lineage: Bacteria
Description: bacterial SSU rRNA
Rfam family: Bacterial small subunit ribosomal RNA
Source: RNAcentral
GCAAGUCGAGGGGUAACGGAAGUAGCUUGCUACUAGACGACGACCGGCGCACGGGUGAGUAACGCGUAUGUAAUCUGCCUUGUACAGAGGGAUAGCCCAGAGAAAUUUGGAUUAAUACCUCAUAGUAUUACUGGAUCGCAUGAUUUGGUAAUUAAAGCUCCGGCGGUAUAAGAUGAACAUGCGUGACAUUAGCUAGUUGGUAAGGUAACGGCUUACCAAGGCUACGAUGUCUAGGGGUUCUGAGAGGAUGAUCCCCCACACUGGUACUGAGACACGGACCAGACUCCUACGGGAGGCAGCAGUGAGGAAUAUUGGUUAAUGGACGCAAGUCUGAACCAGCCAUCCCGCGUGAAGGAUGACUGCCCUAUGGGUUGUAAACUUCUUUUAUAUGCAAAUAAACCUACUUUCGUGAAAGUAGCUGAAGGUAGCAUAUGAAUAAACACCGGCUAACUCCGUGCCAGCAGCCGCGGUAAUACGGAGGGUGUAAGCGUUAUCCGGAUUUAUUGGGUUUAAAGGGUACGUAGGCGGUAAUAUAAGUCAGUGGUGAAAUCCUGCAGCUCAACUGUAGAACUGCCAUUGAA